CCUACGGGAGGCAGCAGUAGGGAAUAUUGCUCAAUGGGGGAAACCCUGAAGCAGCAACGCCGCGUGGAGGAUGAAGGUUUUCGGAUUGUAAACUCCUUUUGUUAGAGAAGGUAAUGACGGUAUCUAACGAAUAAGCACCGGCUAACUCCGUGCCAGCAGCCGCGGGAAUACGGAGGGUGCAAGCGUUACUCGGAAUCACUGGGCGUAAAGAGCGCGUAGGCGGGAUAGCAAGUCAGAUGUGAAAUCCUAUGGCUUAACCAUAGAACUGCAUUUGAAACUGUUAGUCUAGAGUAUGGGAGAGGUAGGUGGAAUGCUUGGUGUAGGGGUAAAAUCCGUAGAGAUCGAGAGGAAUACUCAUUGCGAAGGCGACCUGCUGGACUGUGACUGACGUUGAGGCCCGAAGGCGUGGGGAGCGAACAGGAUUAGAUACCCCAGUAGUC
RNAcentral lists this ribosomal RNA (440 nucleotides) under uncultured bacterium. RNAcentral describes it as "partial 16S ribosomal RNA". It matches the Rfam family "Bacterial small subunit ribosomal RNA", at positions 338 to 795 of the family's 1533-position model. The record is from RNAcentral.